RNAcentral lists this long non-coding RNA (569 nucleotides) under Mytilus galloprovincialis (Mediterranean mussel). The record is from RNAcentral. Lineage: Eukaryota; Metazoa; Mollusca; Bivalvia; Mytilida; Mytilidae.
GAUGGUGCAUUCAAAUUUGAUAUGAUUCUAGAUCCUAGUUGUGGUUUUGGCAUAACAAUAAUCAAUAAGAAAACAAUCGCUAUCACAUCUGGAUAUUCUAGCGAGUACAUCGGUAUUGACAUAAUAGACACCGAGAGCCGGACGAAGGUCAAGUUCAUCAACCUUCCUGGUCCUUCAUAUGGAAUCACACGUGAUCAAGACUCGUUGUUUGUCUGUGUUGAAGGACAUGGUAUAUAUGAAAUAAACACUGUGGGUUAUUUUACCUCUAACGAGAUCAGUUGUAACUUACCAUCAGGUUCUUACGUAUCUGUAUUCUCCAACAAGAUAUACUACACUGACUGGAGAGAUGAUAGUGUAGUUUGUUGUGACCGUGAUGGAUCACCUCUUUGGACUUUUAACGAUAACUCUGUUUUGAAACGUCCGAUGGGCAUCACUGUAGAUAAUGACGGUAACGUGUUUGUUGUUGGAGGGAACUCGUGGAAUGUGGUCAUUAUAUCAAAUGAUGGAAAACAUCACACACACAAAGAUGGUCUAGAUGAACCGUCAGCUGUUUUCUUUGAUAAACAGAC